This 240-nucleotide unclassified non-coding RNA is filed under the name uncultured fungus. RNAcentral's name for it is "partial contains 5.8S ribosomal RNA, internal transcribed spacer 2, and large subunit ribosomal RNA". The stretch from base 1 to 52 matches the Rfam family "5.8S ribosomal RNA", at positions 103 to 154 of the family's 154-position model. Lineage: Eukaryota; Fungi. The record is from RNAcentral.
AACGCAUAUUGCGCCUCCUGGUAUUCCGGGAGGCAUGCCUGUUUGAGCGUCAUUACAACCCUCACGCUUAGCGUGGUAUUGGGCUCGCCCGCCUGGGCCUGCCUCAAAAUCAGUGGCGGCGACAUCGAACCCCUAAGCGUAGUAAUACUCGCAGCUUUUGGGAGCCGGUGGUAGCUUGCUAACAACCCCCAAUUUUUAAUGGUUGACCUCAGAUCAGGUAGGGAUACCCGCUGAACUUAA